This 2590-nucleotide long non-coding RNA is filed under the name Homo sapiens (human). Its description in RNAcentral is "HSALNT0203295". The record is from RNAcentral. Lineage: Eukaryota; Metazoa; Chordata; Mammalia; Primates; Hominidae.
AAAGAAUCUUAUUCCCUAGGGCAGGAUUGCUAAACAAAGCCCUGCGGGGGGAGUUACAAGCCAUGCCCUCAGGAUGUAAUACAAGAUGGAGGCUUGAUUUCACAACCAAAACUUUCCAGAGAAUAUAGUGAUAGAUGUUGGAGGUCCCUAGUCUAGCACAACAUCUUCUAAAAGAAAAUGAAACUUUUAAAAGUUAACUACCGACAGGGUAGAGAGAAAAGAAAAGAAACAGUUUAAAAAUACCUGAGGAAGAGCCUCUCAUUCCUAUGCAACUGAUUCGUCCACCAUGGAGAUUAGUUCAAUUAUUGUCCAAUGGAGUAGAACCCCUUGGCUGGGGUAGGGGAAGGAGAAGACCGCAAGCUGGCUCUGCGAAGACCCUUGAGCCACGCGUCCCAGCCCCAGCAUGAAGCAGUGAUGGAAGGAAAAUGUCUGGGAAGCCCCGGUGGAAUGCAACAGGUAAACAGGGAGGGCUUUCUAUGAAAUGUGAUUUAGGGGUUUUAUCAUUAUAUAAUUUGAAAGGGUAAUUAGUAACCUGGGUAAUGAAGAGAUGAUUUAGUUUAACGUUAUAGUCUCCUACAGAGGCAGAUGGGUCCUACUCAAAGGGCUGCUUGGAUGUCUAGACUGAUAAUGCCAUAUACACACUAAAAAUUGCAGAGAAGCCAGCAACAAUUUUAGUGUAGUUUGUAAAUGAACCAAUCAACAACAAAUUCACGAACAAAGCCACUCUUCUGCUUAGAUAAGGCCUGGAUUCUACCAUCAGUGUUAUUUUUAGGUUCAGUGCUUUGAUAGCUGUUUUUAAAAUGUGAGUAGUCCUGUUAAAUUAGUAUAAGUUAUCUUAACUUUGAAAAAAAAAUCAGAGAAAGGGUGAGGAGCCAUAUCAGUUUAGAGCAUGAGAAAACAAUUCAGAAGCUCAAGGAAACCAAAACAAUUUGGCUAGCUAAAAAACAUAUAAUAUCAGCUAGUCAAGCAGACUUGGAUGAAUCAGUGAUCUUAGUAUUAAAUCUUUAUUAAAUAUUUUCAAAUAUGAAGAAGAUCAACAAUGAGCUCAGCUGAAGUAGACGAAGGUCAGGAACAUCAAGAAUAGUUCUUCAGGUUUUCUCUUUCUGCCUUGAACAUUCCUCUCUGGCACAGGAUAGAUGAGAUCUCUAAGCGGAGUCUUGAGGUCCCUCACAUAGCAGGGAGCAUUUCUAUUACCGAACAUCUCUGGUUUAUAUCCCAUUCUGUUGAAAAGCUUAUGUGACAUUCUCCAGAAAACCAGCUUCAUAGACUCUGGGUUCUCUUUACGAUAAUUCAUCUAUACAGAGAAAUCUUGCCAAGGACAUUUUAUAGACAAGUUCUCUUUCUCCAAGGAAAUAUCAUUUGUCUAUUUACCAGGAGGGCCUGUUUACAAGGAGACUAAAAUUGCCUUCUUUUCUCCUUUUAUUUUCUCUGUGGCAUCCUCCUGGUGAAGGGAGUGGUAAGUUAAUGGAUCAUUGAACAGGUGAUUUAACUUCUUUCCCUUACUAAUGCAUCACAAUUUUGCCUUCUUUUGGUCUCUGUGCUUGAAGUUGCAAAGACAAAGAAAAAAGCGAGACCUAUGUCAAGUUCGGAGACAAAAAGGAGCCAUAAAAAUGGAAGUAAAGAAAUUUUAUUUGCUGUGUCUAGAAACUCUAAGUAUUCUGUCCUGUUUACCUUUAUUCUCCCUUCCUCUGCUUUCAUGUCCUCAAUUCUAUCUACAACAUCUAAAGAGAAAGGUUAAUAACUUGCUUAAGAUAACCCGGUUAUUUAUGUUAUUUAAUAGCUGGACAAGGAUAAAAUCCAAGGUCCUCUAAAUUGGAAACAAUUGAUUUUUUUCAGUCUUUCUCCUUCAUUGCACUACCUUUAUAUGUUAUUGAUCUCUUGCAAAACAAUUUAUUACAUGACUUAGUCAAAUAAAUUAAUCCAGUUCCUAACACACCCAUUACCAUAUUGGAUACUAAGGACACAAUGUUGAAUAAACUACAUCCUCUGAUGCAAAUGGCUGUCAUUUAGUCAGAUUAAAAGAUUAAAAAAAUACAGUUGUAAACAAAUAAUAUUAUGGGGGCACAGAGAAGGCAAUUGUACUCUAAAACUGGGGUUUAAAGUAGGAUUCUUAAGAAGUGAAGGUAGUCAGGCAAACUAUGGAAAGAAUAUUCUGUGCCGAUGAAUCAGCAAAUAUAUAGGCUUAGAUGUGAGAAGAAAUGUCAGUGUAUUAACAUUUGCUCAAUAUAGAUUGAACAAACAAUGCAAAAAAGAAGAAAAUGUGAAGUGUUGCUAGACACUAAGUGAUGAGUUAAACACUAAAGAGCCUUGAAUAAAAUGGCAAGAAGUUGGAAAUUUAUUCUGCUGUCAACUAGUAGUCUUUGAGGUAUUGUAAACAUCACAGUUUCAUGACCAAAUUUAUUUUCUAGAGCAUAAAGCAAGUAUCUGUCAUUAGAUACAUAAAUGAGCCACUGGGUUAAAUAUAAUUAAAUGAAAUUUUAAAAUUCAUAACAUGGUGAUGUUAUUACUGUGCUGUCAUUCAUUACCAAUGCCACAGACUGCGAUUUAGUAUUCAAUAUUUUCCAAACUCGUUUCACCAUAGACUUCCCCA